RNAcentral lists this ribosomal RNA (489 nucleotides) under uncultured bacterium. Its description in RNAcentral is "bacterial SSU rRNA". It matches the Rfam family "Bacterial small subunit ribosomal RNA", at positions 15 to 507 of the family's 1533-position model. The record is from RNAcentral.
GAUCAUGGCUCAGGAUGAACGCUAGCGGCAGGCCUAAUACAUGCAAGUCGAACGCUCAGUAGCAAUACUGGGAGUGGCGCACGGGUGCGUAACGACGUACACAAUCUACCUCUAAGCGGGGGACACUCCUGGAAACGGGGAUUAAUACCGCAUAAUAUGCCGAGGUCGCAUGACUUUGGUAUUAAAGCAGCAAUGCACUUAGAGAUGAGUGUGCGUCCCAUUAGGUAGUUGGUGAGGUAACGGCUCACCAAGCCUAUGAUGGGUAGCCGGUCUGAGAGGAUGGUCGGCCACACGGGCACUGAGACACGGGCCCGACUCCUACGGGAGGCAGCAGUAAGGAAUAUUGGUCAAUGGUGGAAACACUGAACCAGCCAUGCCGCGUGGAGGAAUAAGGUCCUACGGAUUGUAAACUCCUUUUGACGAGGAAGAAAGUGUUAGAUUUAUCUAAUUUUGACGGUACUCGUAGAAUAAGCACCGGCUAACUCCGUG